CCAGGUCGUCCUGGUCGAGCACCUUGUCGAGGUCGUGCCCGGCG
Molecule: small RNA, 44 nt
Filed under: Curtobacterium sp. ER1/6
Lineage: Bacteria; Bacillati; Actinomycetota; Actinomycetes; Micrococcales; Microbacteriaceae
Description: mini-ykkC RNA motif
Source: RNAcentral